UACGAAGGGGGCUAGCGUUGCUCGGAAUGACUGGGCGUAAAGGGCGCGUAGGCGGAUGGCACAGUCAGAUGUGAAAUUCCCGGGCUUAACCUGGGGGCUGCAUUUGAUACGUGUUGUCUAGAGUGAGGAAGAGGGUUGUGGAAUUCCCAGUGUAGAGGUGAAAUUCGUAGAUAUUGGGAAGAACACCGGUGGCGAAGGCGGCAACCUGGUCCUUGACUGACGCUGAUGCGCGAAAGCCAGGGGAGCGAACGGG
This 253-nucleotide ribosomal RNA is filed under the name uncultured bacterium. RNAcentral describes it as "partial 16S ribosomal RNA". It matches the Rfam family "Bacterial small subunit ribosomal RNA", at positions 524 to 776 of the family's 1533-position model. The record is from RNAcentral.